This 440-nucleotide ribosomal RNA is filed under the name uncultured bacterium. Its description in RNAcentral is "bacterial SSU rRNA". It matches the Rfam family "Bacterial small subunit ribosomal RNA", at positions 338 to 795 of the family's 1533-position model. The record is from RNAcentral.
CCUACGGGGGGCUGCAGUGGGGAAUAUCGCACAAUGGGGGAAACCCUGAUGCAGCAACGCCGCGUGAGCGAUGAAGGCCUUCGGGUCGUAAAGCUCUGUCCUAAGGGAUGAAUACUGACGCUAACUUAGGAGGAAGCUGCGGCUAACUACGUGCCAGCAGCCGCGGUAAUACGUAGGGGGCUAGCGUUAUCCGGAAUUACUGGGCGUAAAGGGUGCGUAGGAGGCCCUUAAAGUCAGAGGUGAAAGGCUACGGCUCAACCGUAGUACGCCUUUGAAACUGUAGGGCUUGAGUGCAGGAGAGGAGAGUGGAAUUCCCAGUGUAGUGGUGAAAAGCGUAGAUAUUGGGAGGAACACCAGUUGCGAAGGCGGCUCUCUGGAGUGUAACUGACGCAGAGGCACGAAAGAGUGGGGGGCGAACAGGAUUAUAUACCCGAGUAGUC